CUCAGGAUGAACGUUGGCGGUGUGCCUAAUACAUGCAAGUCGAACGGUGGUUAUUUUGUAGUAAUACGAAGUGAUCAUAGUGGCGAACGGGUGAGUAACGCGUUGGUGAUCUGCCUCGAAGUGUGGAAUAACGUUCCGAAAGGAACGCUAAUACCGCAUGUGCUCUCGAUUUUUAGAAAGUUGAGAGUAAAGGAUUUAUUCGCUUCAAGAGGAGCCUGCGUCCCAUCAGCUGGUUGGUAGGGUAACGGCCUACCAAGGCUAUGACGGGUAGGGGACCUGAGAGGGUGGCCCCCCACAAUGGAACUGAAACACGGUCCAUACACCUACGGGUGGCAGCAGUAGGGAAUAUUAGAAAUGGACGAAAGUCUGAUCUAGCAACACCGCGUGUGCGAAGAAGGCCUUCGGGUCGUAAAGCACUUUUUGGAAGGAAUAGGAAGGAAUGUACUUCCAGAAUAAGUCUCGGCUAACUACGUGCCAGCAGCCGCGGUAACACGUAGGAGGCAAACGUUAUCCGGAUUUACUGGGCGUAAAGCGCGUGUAGGUGGUUCUGUAAGUAGGGCGUGAAAGCUCCCGGCUCAACUGGGAGAGGCCGUUCUAAACUGCAGAGCUAGAGGAUGGUAGAGGGAGGUGGAAUUCCGGGUGUAGCGGUGGAAUGCGCAGAUAUCUGGAGGAACACCAGUGGCGAAAGCGGCCUCCUGGACCAUUCCUGACACUCAGACGCGAAAGCUAGGGUAGCAAACGGGAUUAGAGACCCCGGUAGUCCUAGCCCUAAC
RNAcentral lists this ribosomal RNA (773 nucleotides) under uncultured Chloroflexota bacterium. RNAcentral's name for it is "bacterial SSU rRNA". It matches the Rfam family "Bacterial small subunit ribosomal RNA", at positions 23 to 806 of the family's 1533-position model. The record is from RNAcentral. Lineage: Bacteria; Bacillati; Chloroflexota.